Long non-coding RNA from Armigeres subalbatus, 496 nucleotides. RefSeq lists it as uncharacterized. The record is from RefSeq and is a predicted model, not a curated record. The transcript has 3 exons. NCBI's taxonomy places the organism in Eukaryota, Metazoa, Arthropoda, Insecta, Diptera, Culicidae.
UGCCAGGAACUAAUAACCGGGACGUGAGUGUCCCGAAGAACCGAUUAAAAAUUCAUGCAACCCAGAAGAGCUGACGAGACCAGCACCGCCAGAGGCGCUAGUGUAUUUUACUCACAUUUCGUGGCGCUGGCGGAAUUAUUCAAACCGGAAUUUCUGGCGCGCGAACAAGACCACUGCUACAUGGCAUGAACCAUCUACUGUACCAGCUACGCCAAGGAUCGUUCCGAUUUGAAUUUCGGAAGUGUGAAGUGCUAGCCACCGAGCUGUCGAUAAUGCGGGAUCAACAUUUAAACCAUGACGAAUACCUAUACGGUGAUGCGAAAUUACUGUAGGCCUCGCUGCAGGCGAGCUACCAGGGACGCUUUACCGUCAACCAGCAAUCCACCCUAGAGGAAUUUAGCUGUAAUCUGAUAAAUCAGUCGUGCAACCAAUCAAUUUGAACGCAACCCGACAUUCUGAAUACAAUCAUCGUUGCAGUGGAUCAACACUUAUCAGA